RNAcentral lists this ribosomal RNA (468 nucleotides) under uncultured bacterium. RNAcentral's name for it is "partial 16S ribosomal RNA". It matches the Rfam family "Bacterial small subunit ribosomal RNA", at positions 28 to 507 of the family's 1533-position model. The record is from RNAcentral.
GACGAACGCUGGCGGCGUGCUUAACACAUGCAAGUCGAACGGAAAGGCCCUGCUUUUGUGGUGUUCUCGAGUGGCGAACGGGUGAGUAACACGUGAGUAACCUGCCCUUGACUUUGGGAUAACUUCAGGAAACUGGGGCUACUACCGGAUAGGAGCUCCUGCUGCAUGGUGGGCGUUGGAAAGUUUCGGCGUUUGGGGAUGGACUCGCGGCUUAUCAGCUUGUUGGUGGGGUAGUGGCUUACCAAGGCUUUGACGGGUAGCCGGCCUGAGAGGGUGACCGGCCACAUGGGGACUGAGAUACGGACCAGAAUCGUACGGGAGGCAGAAGUGGGGAGUAUUGCACAAUGGGAGGAAGCCUGAGGCAGCAACGCUGGGUGCGGGAUGACGGCCUUCGGGUUGUAAACCGCUGUCGCCUGUGACGAAGAGUGAGUGACGGUAAUGAGUAAAGAAGCACCGGCUAACUACGUG